AUGAACGCUAGCGACAGGCUUAACACAUGCAAGUCGAGGGGUAACAGGGUAGCAAUACCGCUGACGACCGGCGCACGGGUGAGUAACGCGUAUGCAACCUGCUUAUAACUGGGGAAUAGCUCCCUGAAAGGGGAAUUAACACCGCAUAACACUAUUGAUUCGCAUGGAUUGGUAGUUAAAUGUAGCGAUACAGGUUAUAGAUGGGCAUGCGUGACAUUAGCUAGUUGGUGAGGUAACGGCUCACCAAGGCUACGAUGUCUAGGGGUUCUGAGAGGAAGGUCCCCCACACUGGUACUGAGACACGGACCAGACUCCUACGGGAGGCAGCAGUGAGGAAUAUUGGACAAUGGAUGGAAAUCUGAUCCAGCCAUGCCGCGUGCAAGGAAGACGGCCCUAUGGGUUGUAAACUGCUUUUGUAUGGGAGCAAUAAGGGCUACGCGUAGUCCGAUGAGAGUACCAUACGAAUAAGCACCGGCUAACUCCGUGCCAGCAGCAGC
Molecule: ribosomal RNA, 497 nt
Filed under: uncultured bacterium
Lineage: Bacteria
Description: bacterial SSU rRNA
Rfam family: Bacterial small subunit ribosomal RNA
Source: RNAcentral